Molecule: ribosomal RNA, 198 nt
Filed under: uncultured bacterium
Lineage: Bacteria
Description: partial 16S ribosomal RNA
Rfam family: Bacterial small subunit ribosomal RNA
Source: RNAcentral
ACGCUCGACACCUACGGGAUGCAGCAGUGGGGAAUAUUGCACAAUGGGGGAAACCCUGAUGCAGCAACGCCGCGUGAGCGAAGAAGUAUUUCGGUAUGUAAAGCUCUAUCAGCAGGGAAGAAAGUGACGGUACCUGAGUAAGAAGCCCCGGCUAACUACGUGCCAGCAGCCGCGGUAAUCUGAGCGGGCUGGCAAGGC